RNAcentral lists this ribosomal RNA (253 nucleotides) under uncultured bacterium. Its description in RNAcentral is "partial 16S ribosomal RNA". It matches the Rfam family "Bacterial small subunit ribosomal RNA", at positions 524 to 776 of the family's 1533-position model. The record is from RNAcentral.
UACGGGGGGAGCAAGCGUUGUUCGGAAUCACUGGGCGUAAAGGGCGUCUAGGCGGUUUGGUAAGUGGGAUGUGAAAUCCCCGGGCUCACCCCGGGACCUGCAUCCCAAACUGCUGAGCUUGAGUACAGGAGAGGGUGGGGGAAUUCCAGGUGUAGCGGUGAAAUGCGUAGAUAUCUGGAGGAACACCGGUGGCGAAGGCGCCCACCUGGCCUGCUACUGACGCUGAAGCUCGAAAGCUAGGGGAGCAAACGGG